Molecule: long non-coding RNA, 2046 nt
Organism: Microtus oregoni (creeping vole)
Lineage: Eukaryota; Metazoa; Chordata; Mammalia; Rodentia; Cricetidae
Exons: 3
Source: RefSeq, a predicted model, not a curated record
AGGAUCCUGCAUCCCUCAUGCAGUCUUAGAGUGGUUCUCUCCAUCACUCGGAAGAAGAGCCCUGUUACAUCUGCAUCUUCCAACCUGAUUACAGCAAACCGGUCACCCAUUCCCACAUUCUACAGGUAGAAGGCCCAGGGUGACAUUAUAUAGUUCUCAGCAGAUUGUAGAGCCAAGGAUGGGAAGAAAGUGCUGGACAAUGGUGUCUGAGAUGCUAACUCCAGGGGCGGGAAGAAAGUGCUGGACAAUGCUAUCUGAGAUGCCAGCUCCAGUGCGCUCUGAAUCCCAGGAAGAUGAAAGGACACUGCUCAGGACCUGGCAACAUAGGGGCCUCCAAGCCCCUUUGUGGAGUGCUCACCUACAAGAGGACAGCAAUUCCACAGUCCCUAUUCAUGUGUGACAAACCUUUCCAUUCAGGCUUCUAGCUUGCCCAGACUGGAACAACACCUCCUCCCUCUCAGCUCAUCUGGUUCCUCUGAGGGCAGAGCUGGCUCAGACGGUUCUGAGAAGAGUCUGUUCUGGGAACUGCAGCCCUGUGUUUGUGCAAGCAAGUAUGCACUAUCUCCCUGAAUCAGGAACCCUGCCCUUCCCCCCUGGCACCUCAGGCUUCUGUGCAUAGGGCCUGGCCAGCUGCAGUCUGCUGGGGAGUGGGGGGGAGGACUGCUGGGUGAUGGAAUGCUAGCCAAGGAGGGAUGCAGCUGAGCUCCUGGCUCCCUGGCCUGCCUGCCUGCCAGCUAGGAAUUGUUAUCUAUACCCGAGAGCAAGCCAGGCUUCCUACACUAAAUUAGCCAGAGCAAAGCAGAUGUCUGCCUUCAAUGCAGCAGAGGAUUAGAUCAGCCGGUCUCCUCCUGCUGCCGACAAGGGCAAUGGUGGGAACCCAGAAUAGGUGGCAUUCCUGCGGCAGGACUGCCCCAGAGCUAGGCAGCCUGUCAGCACAUCUAUACCCACCCCUCACUGUCCACUCCAGGCAGGGUUUCCUCCCCCCACCACCAUGCAAGCUUCUUAUGCACAUUGUGUUUUUAGAGUUUUAGCUUUCAUUUGCUGUGGCCCCUGAAUAAGAAAUAGAAGCCCAAUUUUAGGUGCUGCCUCCUGCAUUAACCACUUUAGAGACUUUAAGUCCCCACUCCACUUUACUCUCAGACAGUCUCCCAGGGGAUACCCCAGACCCUCUCCCUUCUUGACUGUUCUUUGUUUUAUAGGCAUAGCUGCUGGAGCACAAAGAUUUGGUGUGGUUUAAAGUUCCAGGUCCCUUUUAGCACUGAAAUAGACACUUAGUUCCUGUUCCCCACACAAAAUGAAAAGGUGAACCCUUUGGUUACAAAUUAUCACCCCCAAACAAGGCAGAAAUAUGACUUGGUACCUAAGAAAAGGAUUUCAAGGAAGUAGCUAAGCCCCUUUGGAGAUUCCAUCUCUUCUGCCCCAGGGACAACCAUGUGCCAUCCAAGAGAGACCAAUAUCUUCAUCAGACACUGGACCCGUGGCAGCGUGCCCUUGAACGUGCCUCCAGAACAGAGAGAAACACGCUUCUAUCACAAGUGCGCAUCAUUCGGUGGCAGGGCUACGUUCUGAGAAAUGCAUAACUGGGCAGUUUCAUGACUGUGUGAAGCCUGGAGUGUACUUAUGAAAGCUAAGACAGCAGCAGCGUCACUGGGCAACAUCAGCUGAGAGAAUCGUUGGCCUCUAUUGAUCCAUCAUUGACAUCUUGCAGCCCAUGCCUAUAUUUAUAAAUUAUAUCCAGUCUGUGGGAGUUUGAGUGGGAAAAUGCUGUCCCUUCCACAUAGGAUCAUUUAUUUAAAUACUAAAUCCCCAGUGGAAUGACUGUGUGGGGAGGUCGCUGGACUUUUAAAAUGUGGAGCCUUUGUGGAAAAAAGCACUUCUAGGAGUUUCUAGCUUUGUCUAAUUAUCUAAUUUUCCUUGUUUCCUUUGUGUUGAUAAAAGAUGGGGUCAGUCUGCUUCCUGCUCUGACCACCCACUGCCAUGCCGUUACGGAUUCUCCCUCUAAAACCACAAGCCAAAUAAACUCUUCCAUCUAUAGGUUGCUUUGGU